GGGUUGUGAGGUUAAGCGACUAAGCGUACACGGUGGAUGCCCUGGCAGUCAGAGGCGAUGAAGGACGUGCUAAUCUGCGAUAAGCGUCGGUAAGGUGAUAUGAACCGUUAUAACCGGCGAUUUCCGAAUGGGGAAACCCAGUGUGUUUCGGCACACUAUCAUUAACUGAAUCCAUAGGUUAAUGAGGCGAACCGGGGGAACUGAAACAUCUAAGUACCCCGAGGAAAAGAAAUCAACCGAGAUUCCCCCAGUAGCGGCGAGCGAACGGGGAGGAGCCCAGAGCCUGAAUCAGUGUGUGUGUUAGUGGAAGCGUCUGGAAAGGCGCGCGAUACAGGGUGACAGCCCCGUACACAAAAAUGCACAUAUUGUGAGCUCGAUGAGUAGGGCGGGACACGUGGUAUCCUGUCUGAAUAUGGGGGGACCAUCCUCCAAGGCUAAAUACUCCUGACUGACCGAUAGUGAACCAGUACCGUGAGGGAAAGGCGAAAAGAACCCCGGCGAGGGGAGUGAAAAAGAACCUGAAACCGUGUACGUACAAGCAGUGGGAGCCUCUUUAUGGGGUGACUGCGUACCUUUUGUAUAAUGGGUCAGCGACUUAUAUUCUGUAGCAAGGUUAACCGAAUAGGGGAGCCGAAGGGAAACCGAGUCUUAACUGGGCGUUAAGUUGCAGGGUAUAGACCCGAAACCCGGUGAUCUAGCCAUGGGCAGGUUGAAGGUUGGGUAACACUAACUGGAGGACCGAACCGACUAAUGUUGAAAAAUUAGCGGA
Molecule: ribosomal RNA, 769 nt
Filed under: Escherichia coli
Lineage: Bacteria; Pseudomonadati; Pseudomonadota; Gammaproteobacteria; Enterobacterales; Enterobacteriaceae
Description: bacterial LSU rRNA
Rfam family: Bacterial large subunit ribosomal RNA
Source: RNAcentral